RNAcentral lists this ribosomal RNA (61 nucleotides) under Isochrysis galbana. RNAcentral describes it as "partial Eukaryotic small subunit ribosomal RNA". The record is from RNAcentral. Lineage: Eukaryota; Haptophyta; Isochrysidales; Isochrysidaceae.
GUAUGGUCGGAAAGGUGAAACCUAAAGGAAUGGACGGAGGGGCACCACCGGGAGCGGAGUC